AGCCAAAUUUUAAUAUUUUAUACAAAUAAUAAAGAAAACCUUCAUUUUAUUACAGUAUUUUUAAAAAAAUUUACCUUAUAAUAUAAACCGAAAGGGUACUCAUAAACAGCUUUUUUAAGAAAUGAUUAUACCUUAUCCCUUUUGCAUCAUGGAGAAGCAACAAAAUCCUAGCAACCUAAAAUCCCGAAUGACUAUGAGCUACUAAACCUUAAAAACCAAUGUUUCAUAAUUGGUAAAGUAACUUUUAGUAGGAGUAACAAGCCUUUCAUAUAGUCGUAUAGCUGGUUUUUCUUUAAAAGCAUCAAAGUGCUGCCUUAUAGAAAAUAUACAAAUUAUAAACUCUAUAAAGUUUAACCUGCUGAGGAUUAGCUCAGUGGGCUAACAAAAAUAUUUUACUUCAUAAUCCCACAAGUAGGCUUAAAAGCAGCCACCAAAUAACGUUCUAGUUAACGCCUCAAACGUCAAAUAUAUAUACCCACAUUUUAAAAUUAAAGAAACUUAAUAAUAAACUCCUAUAUUAAUGAACAGGCAUUCUAUUAGUAUUAAAGAUAACACACUACUUAAAAAUCCUUAAAAUACGAAUCUUAUUAGCUUAUUUCUUGAAACUAUACAAAGAGAACUCGGCAAAACAAUUCCCUGCCUGUUUACCAAAAACAUCGUCUUUUGAACCCGUUAAUAAAAGAUAAUGCCUGCCCAGUGAAAUUUUAAACGGCCGCGUUAGCGUGAGCGUGCUAAGGUAGCGUAAUAAUUAGCCUUUUAAUUGGAGGCCAGUGAAAGGCAACACUAGGAAUACCUGUACCUUGUAUAUAAAAAGAAUUUUUCAUCUAAGUGAAAAGACUUAGAUAGCAAAGGAAGACGAAAAGACCCCGCGGAACUUUACCUUUUCUUAUACUCACGUCUACAAACUUAAAUGUCUAUAAGGUUUGAUUGGGGCAAUCUUGGAACCACUAAAGCUUCCAAUUCCUUUUAAAAAAUAUCAAAAAUUUAUUAAGGACCAAAAAGAAGUUACCCCGGGGAUAACAGCGUAAUCCAACUUAAGAGUACAUAUCGAAAGUUGGGUUUGCGACCUCGAUGUUGGCUUAAGGAUAUCCACAUAAGUGCAACCGCUAUGACAGGAUAGUCUGUUCGACUAUUAUACCCUUACGUGAUCUGAGUUCAGACCGGAGCAAGCUAGGUUGGUUUCUAUCUCCUUUACUUAAAAAACCUUCUUGAUUGUACGAAAGGACCUCAAAAGACGCACUCAAUUUUAGCGUUUAUAAAACAACUACAUCGUUAAUAACCCUAA
RNAcentral lists this ribosomal RNA (1285 nucleotides) under Acuticosta chinensis. RNAcentral describes it as "16S ribosomal RNA". The stretch from base 825 to 1196 matches the Rfam family "Bacterial large subunit ribosomal RNA", at positions 2049 to 2651 of the family's 2925-position model. Lineage: Eukaryota; Metazoa; Mollusca; Bivalvia; Unionida; Unionidae. The record is from RNAcentral.